Molecule: non-coding RNA, 4521 nt
Organism: Peromyscus maniculatus bairdii (prairie deer mouse)
Lineage: Eukaryota; Metazoa; Chordata; Mammalia; Rodentia; Cricetidae
Source: RefSeq, a predicted model, not a curated record
GGGUCUUAUAUAUAACAGUCUGGUCUCAAAGUCACUAUGUCACCAAGAAUGGUCUUGAAUUUUUUAAUUUCCUACCUCUAUCUCCUUGAUGUGCCCCACUACACUCAGUUUAUGCUACAGCAGUGUUGGGGGUUGAACCCAGGGCCCUUGUGCAUGAGAGGCAAAUAGUCUAUCAACUGAGUGCCCUCCUAGCACAAUUAAACUGUUAAUAUUUCUAUUCUGCAGAAAAAAGGGCAAUGCUUCAAACACACCUGUGUGGUGUCCUUUUGGUAUUGUGUCACCAAGCUAAAUCUCUGUGUGCCAACUCUCUGAACCACCAGCGUGACAUUUCAAUAACUGUAGGUGACAAGGUACCCUAUGAAGCAUGAAUAUUGGUAGGCAUUUCCAAAGCCUGGCAAAUAUCCUCGUGAAUUCACGGUACCCAAAGCCAGGAACAAAACUCUUUACUUCAUUCUCAAGACAGAAAUCUGAGUCCAGGGUGCUAAAGGACCUGAAAGCCAGUAAGAGCUUGAUAAGAAGGUGCCUGAACGAAGUAUUUGUCACCCAACCACUUGAGAGCCAAGUAAUUUCAGACCACUUGGUUCUGGUGACUGUGUCUGAAUUACGCAUUGAGAGUCGUCGUAGAAGUCUGACCUGCAUGGGGAAGAAAGGGCUGCUGUUCAUUUGUAGGCAGAGCCUGUGCCGCCUCAGCACAAGCCCAAGUACCCGCUCGCUCAUCUGCUCUAGCCGCUGCCACGGUGACCUUGUUGGCUGGCCCAGAAUGAGGGUCAGGAUUGCGUGCUUGCUGCCCAGCCCUUUGCCAAAUGCUUAGAUGAUGCUCGGCCGCACAGCUCUGUGAUCACCCGAAUUUUAUAGAUAAGGAGACAGCGCCAGUGCAAGUCUUGGGACAGACCACAGGAGACAGCGCCUCUCCAUUUCGAUGCUUGAUGAACCGUGACAGCAGAGAGUACAUUUCCAAUUCUCACAACCCAGCACUUGAAAGCUGUGCAUGAUGCCUGGGAGCCAUGCAUCUCAAUCUCCCAGGAAAGGCAUAAAUAUGUUAACAUUUUAGGAUAAAAUCUUUCCCUCUCAGCUACAUAAAAUAGCAGCCAUCACCAAAAAAAAAAAAAAAAAAAAAAGGGAGCAAAUUGCUGGGGACUAUGCAGCCCAUGGUGAUGAUUCCCUAACAUUUGGAGUCUAGAUCUGAUUAUGAGUUAAAUUUCAAGGGGUAACAAAUUCCGAACAAGUAGACUGAAACUAAAUAAACAGUUGCUGUGUCUACUCUCAGGCAGUUAAUUAUAGUAAGGACUCUGCUUCUUGGGAAGUAUUGUUAUAAUAAAUUAUAAUUAGUGGUUUGAAACGGGGAUACUUAAAAAAAAAAAAAUGGGUGGUGAAGAGCCUUGAACGAAUUGAAUCAUUUGUGUUAAAGCUUCCCUAAGACGCUCAGUAUUCUCUGGCAGCCUCAAAACAAAACAAAGCCAAAAAAAAAAAAAAAACCAACCCUGUCAGUCAAACUGCUAGUCAAGAGCCCUGGACAUUAUUCAAACAGAGAGAAUGAGCGCUGUGAAAGGCUCAGGUGUGGAGGGGCCUUGAGAGCCUCAGAAAAUACUCUGCCUUGCUUAAUGCCGAGUGCUAAUUGAUGGAUCUCUGCUGAUUGCUGCUGCUUUCAAGCUGCAUUUCCAUCAGGACUUCUCUGCCUUGGAAGAUGUGACAAUUUAAAAAGUGCUUUAAUAUCCCGGGAAUGGGCCCAGGAGCAGCGGGAGAGCCACAUGAGUACACCCAAGAUAACGACAGAUGCGGGGUUGUCGGGAGUGCUCCAGUUCUCACCCACAGGUCCUUCUGUUUAACAAUCUCCUCUGGCUUCUGCUUCCUGCCUGUGCGGUGAGCCACACGCCCUUCAGACAGGUGCGUGUGUUUGAAGCCUUGAUCACCAGCUGUUUGAGAAGGUUGUGGAAGCCUUGGGAUGCGGACAUAACUGAAUCCUGUCAGCCACCAUGAUGUGAACAAGCUACUGAUGCACCCGCCCACACGCCCCCCCUACUGCAGAGAACGCCACCGAUCCAGCUGCUGUGACUUCCCCACCACAUGGUCCACCAAGCUUCACCCCACUUCCCCUGAGCUGUGUCUGUCCAAUAUUUUGUCAGAGUGCUAAGAAAGUUCUAUGAGUUUCUUCAAACAAGUCAAAGCAACUCUGACCAGAGAUACUUCAAGUGACAAGAAGAUGUGUUAUGCUAGACCUCACUGGGACCAGUCAGGUGGAAACAGAACGAUGGGUGGAAAUGAUGGAAACAAAGGGAGCUGUGAACCGACAAGGUGGUGUCAGCACCAGGAGAUGAAUGUACAGUUUACAGGAAGAGGCACGCCUGAGUCUUGGCUCAUCGGUGAAUAGCUGCUUGCUCUGCCUCCUGGUACUGAGCAUUGUGGACCAACAUCACCUGAGACUGCAACAGAUCUCUUCCUUCCACUGAGGUAUGACAUGCAGCCCAGCAGAGCAGCUUCCACCUACUGCCCAGUUUGAUGACAGACUUUAGAUGUUAUACAUUUGAACCCCCAUGGCUAAAUUCCCCUCAUUGCCUCAAAAUUUCCCAAGGACAAGGCAUCUAGACUCACUGCCAUUUCAGAUGUCAGCAUGGUGACGGCCAUUGGAGUUUGUAGGUUGGAGCUAUGGUCCAAAAGUGAUCUGAUCAGCCCAGAAAACCUGGGCUGUUCCUUCUCUAGAUUCUUCCAUGGGACUGGAGUGUCGUUAGCUUCUUUAGCAGCCUUGUCACAUCUUGGUUUAUCUUGGAUUUACAUUUCUCUAGAAUGCAAACCACCACUAUUUUCUUUCUUUCUUUCUUUCUUUCUUUCUUUCUUUCUUUCUUUCUUUCUUUCUUUCUUUCUUUCUUUCUUUCUUUCUUUCUUUCUUUAAUUCCCAAGACCUCACCAAUAUUUUCAAGUAAACUUUUUUUCAGAGCCAGGCCCUUGGUGUUCACCCUAUAUAUGAAUAUUUGUGUAUGUGCCAUAUUGAUAUCUAUACUUAUUAGUGAUAUAUAUAUAUGUAUACAUAUGUAUAUUUCUAAAUUUGUUUAUAACAUGUGUUAGAUUUCUGAAACUGUGACAAAAAAAAAACUCCUGAGAUAAUCAUCAUACAAGGAAGAAAGGUUUCUUUUGGCCUAUGAUUUCAUAGGCUUCAUUCCAUGAUCAUCUGGGCCCAUUGCCUUUGGGCCUAUGGUAUGUGAGGCAGAAUGCCAUGGUAGCAGCACACAGCAGAGAAAGCUACUCACUUCAUAGUGAAACAGAAUAGAAGGGGCCUGGGGUCCCGUAGCUCCACUAAGGUCACAUAUUCAGUAACCUUCUGCCUCCUAAGUGCUCUACCACCUCUCAAUGUCAACGCAGGCUGGAGACCAAGCAUUUGAUACAUAGGCUUUUGGGGGCUAUCCAAACUUUAGCAGUUUGAUUAUGUGAAGAAUCUCUCCAAUACUAAGCCUGGUAUUACAUACCUAACAUCUUUUGAUAGGAUGCUAUGAGUGUGCACUGACUUUUUGCCACACUCAAAAGAGAGCGAGGUUAAGUCCAUGCAUAUUUUCACAGCUAGCACAUUCAGAUACACUACUUCUACCAGAGUUGGUGAGCAGGGAACUAUUAGCGGUCAUUGGGUCACUGUUUCUCUGGGUCUCAGUGACUAUGCCUGCCUGUUCAGGGGCUGGUUGGCCUAGAUUAUAUCAUAUGUUUGUCCUAGUCCUAAGAUUUUUGCCUAAAUUGCCAAGACUAAACUUCUGCUUUCCUUUCCUGGGGGCCAUGCUUACUCUUCAGUUCACUCCCAGCACCUCACUUUCAUCCCCAGGGAAUGUCAACCCCCCUCCUUGAGAUUCCCAUUCUGCACCUGUCAUAUCCACUGUCACACCUACUCAGCAGCAUGUGAUACUCAGACCCUCUGGGCCUUGUCAAGUCACUGGUCACACACGUUAGCCCACACUGGCCUGCAGAUCCUUAGUCUCUGGAAGAUUCCAGAGCACUGCUCUCUCUAAAACCAUUUUAAAGAUGGAUUUCCAAAUGUCACCCACAGUGCAAAUAAGAUGAACAGUAGCCACGCAUGACCCUGAAGCAAGUCUUUAACCUCCCUGGCUAUCUGUAGCCAGCAGGGUCAGGCAUAAAGGGACUGUGAUGGCUAAUUUUUAAUUUUCAACUUGGCACAAUCUAGUAUCUCCUAGGAAGGGGAUUCUCAAGGAGGGAUCACCUACAUUGGGUUGACCUGUGAAGGAUUUUUCUUAGUUGGGUUAAUUGAGUUGGGAAAACCAACCUUGGAUGUGGACAACACCCAUCAUGGGCUGGACCCUGAAAACUGUAUGAGGUUGUGUGUGUGUGUGUGUGUGUGUGUGUGUGUGUGUGUGUGUGUGUGUGUUGUUUUUAAAGAAAGUGAACCAUGAGUGUGUGAGUCUGAGUGUGUGUUUAUCCUCUCUGCUCUUGGCUGAGGAUGUGGUGUGACUGGCUGCUGGGGACUCCUAUCUUGACUACCCUGCAACGAUAGAUUGUAACCUGGAAUUGUAAGCCAAAUAAACACUC